CCACACGACUCUCGGCAACGGAUAUCUCGGCUCUCGCAUCGAUGAAGAACGUAGCAAAAUGCGAUACCUGGUGUGAAUUGCAGAAUCCCGCGAACCAUCGAGUUUUUGAACGCAAGUUGCGCCCGAGGCCUUCUGGUCGAGGGCACGUCUGCCUGGGCGUCACGC
RNAcentral lists this ribosomal RNA (165 nucleotides) under Tripidium arundinaceum. Its description in RNAcentral is "Saccharum arundinaceum 5.8S ribosomal RNA". It matches the Rfam family "5.8S ribosomal RNA". From Rfam's summary of the family: 5.8S ribosomal RNA (5.8S rRNA) is a component of the large subunit of the eukaryotic ribosome. It is transcribed by RNA polymerase I as part of the 45S precursor that also contains 18S and 28S rRNA. RNAcentral also lists the same sequence under 3 other names. The record is from RNAcentral. Lineage: Eukaryota; Viridiplantae; Streptophyta; Magnoliopsida; Poales; Poaceae.